This 378-nucleotide unclassified non-coding RNA is filed under the name Hevea brasiliensis (rubber tree). The record is from RNAcentral. Lineage: Eukaryota; Viridiplantae; Streptophyta; Magnoliopsida; Malpighiales; Euphorbiaceae.
GUACUUCCAGGGUUUGAUGCAUCUGUAUAGACUAUUACCAUAUAAAGGCAUUCCUUGUAUGGAUCACAAGAGGAAAACAUGCACAUGUACACACACACACACACAUUAAAUUUGAUCUAGUACAGUUUGGGAAGAGAGGGAGAGAAUUUGUAGAGAGAACUUGCUAUUCAUUAGUCUUCAGUGCAUACAAUUACAAUCCAAGAACACAACUUAUAUUCUGUUUUGGCUUCGGUAACCAAUUAACAAAGAGUCUGUUUGGCAUUAUUAUUAGAACUGCUGUUGAGAAUUUUCUCAAAUAUAUUAGUUUUUGUGUAUUAAAAUUAAUUUUACAUGUUUUAGUCUACGCUAAAAUAACAAAACUUUUUUCUUUUUUUUUUU